UACAGAGGUCCCGAGCGUUGUUCGGAUUCACUGGGCGUAAAGGGUGCGUAGGUGGCCUAGAAAGUUUGAUGUGAAAGCUCAGGGCUUAACCCUGAAAUGGCAUUGAAUACUGCUGUGCUGGAGGUUUGGAGGGGGGACUGGAAUUCUUGGUGUAGCAGUGAAAUGCGUAGAUAUCAAGAGGAACACCAGUGGCGAAGGCGAGUCCCUGGACAACACCUGACACUGAGGCACGAAAGCUAGAGGAGCAAACAGG
Molecule: ribosomal RNA, 253 nt
Filed under: uncultured bacterium
Lineage: Bacteria
Description: partial 16S ribosomal RNA
Rfam family: Bacterial small subunit ribosomal RNA
Source: RNAcentral